Molecule: ribosomal RNA, 105 nt
Filed under: uncultured Gammaproteobacteria bacterium
Lineage: Bacteria; Pseudomonadati; Pseudomonadota; Gammaproteobacteria
Description: partial 16S ribosomal RNA
Source: RNAcentral
CGUGUGUGAGAAGGCCUUUUGGUUGUAAAGCUCUUUUUGCAGGGAAGAAGACCUAACGGUUAAUACCCGUUUGCGAUGACUUUACCUGCACAGUACGCCCCGGUU